GCUAUCUGCGAUAUGGCAGAUUCGAACCUGCCGCAGGUUCGGGUCUCACGUAGUGAGACAACGGAGCCGCUUGCGGCGACGGCCCGAAGGGCGAGCAAAGCGAGUCAUCCUGCACGACCCACCA
This 124-nucleotide small RNA is filed under the name Salmonella enterica. RNAcentral's name for it is "RtT sRNA". It matches the Rfam family "RtT RNA". From Rfam's summary of the family: This family represents a bacterial cis-regulatory element known as RtT RNA. The exact function of RtT is unknown although it is thought that it may be involved in changing the cellular response in relation to amino acid starvation. The record is from RNAcentral. RNAcentral also lists the same sequence under 1 other name. Lineage: Bacteria; Pseudomonadati; Pseudomonadota; Gammaproteobacteria; Enterobacterales; Enterobacteriaceae.